GUGGGGAAUAUUGGACAAUGGGCGAAAGCCUGAUCCAGCCAUGCCGCGUGAGUGAUGAAGGCCUUAGGGUUGUAAAACUCUUUCAGUAGGGAAGAUAAUGACGGUACCUACAGAAGAAGCCCCGGCUAACUUCGUGCCAGCAGCCGCGGUAAUACGAAGGGGGCUAGCGUUGUUCGGAUUUACUGGGCGUAAAGCGCACGUAGGCGGAUUGGUCAGUUAGAGGUGAAAUCCUGGAGCUCAACUCCAGAACUGCCUUUAAUACUGCCAGUCUAGAGUCCAGAAGAGGUGAGUGGAACUCCUAGUGUAGAGGUGGAAUUCGUAGAUAUUAGGAAGAACACCAGUGGCGAAGGCGGCUCACUGGUCUGGUACUGACGCUGAGGUGCGAAAGCGUGGGGAGCAAACAGGAUUAGAAACCCCGGUAGUCC
RNAcentral lists this ribosomal RNA (425 nucleotides) under uncultured bacterium. RNAcentral describes it as "partial 16S ribosomal RNA". It matches the Rfam family "Bacterial small subunit ribosomal RNA", at positions 354 to 796 of the family's 1533-position model. The record is from RNAcentral.